GCCCUCGUAGUAUAAANUAAUACACUGGCCUUGUAAACCANAAAU
This 45-nucleotide transfer RNA is filed under the name Macaca fascicularis (crab-eating macaque). RNAcentral's name for it is "partial tRNA-Thr". Lineage: Eukaryota; Metazoa; Chordata; Mammalia; Primates; Cercopithecidae. The record is from RNAcentral.